AUGUGGUCGGUUUGGCACUCUAGAAAUAAGCUGACGCAUGGGGAAGACAAGCUGGAUCCUGCUGUUUCAGUUCGCAGAACCAGGGAAACACUCUCACUUUUGGAGAUCCCUCAGCGUCAUGCAAUCUUGUUGCCCGGACAUGGAUGGCGCCCCCCGGACAUGGAAUUUGUGAAAAUCAACACCGAUGCUGCGAUCUGUAGGGAGGACGGCAAGGGUGGCGGGGGCGGAGUUGCUCGAUCAGCAAGUUCCUUUCAAGGUGCUUGGAGCAAACCAUACCCAGGUGUGACUGACCCCCUCAUCGCGAAGACGAUGGCAGUUCGUGACGGCGUCAUCUUCGCCAAGCUACGGGGUUUUUCGAAAGUUGCACUCGAGACCGAUUGCUUGGAGGUAGUCAACCUUUGGGCCGCUCGGCAUGAUUCUCGCUCUAUUGUGGCACCCAUCUUAGUAGAAAUUGGAGAGCUAGCUAGCACUUUUACUUCUUUUGUAAUUCAGCAUGUAUCCAGGUCAGCUAACGGUCCAUCUCAUAUCUGUGCUAAGCAUGCUUGCACGAUUGAUGGAACCGAGAGUUGGCUUGAUAACACUCCUAGUUUCCUUAUCAGCAGCCUUUUGGCUGACUGCUCGGUGAACGCCUUCGUUUAA
This 639-nucleotide ribosomal RNA is filed under the name Triticum aestivum (bread wheat). RNAcentral's name for it is "partial small subunit ribosomal RNA". Lineage: Eukaryota; Viridiplantae; Streptophyta; Magnoliopsida; Poales; Poaceae. The record is from RNAcentral.